CAAAUGCUUCAGUCAACUUCUCAGAGUUUUCUAAGAAGUGCUCAGAGAGGUGGAAGACCAUGUCUGCUCAACAGAAAGGAAAAUUGGAAGACAUGGCAAAGGCGGACAAGGCCCGUUAUGAAAGAGAAACGAAAACCUAUAUCCCUCCUAAAGGGGAAACAAAAAAGAAGUUCAAGGAUCCCAAUGCACCCAAGAGGCCUCCGCUGGCCUUCUUCUUGUUCUGUUCUGAGUAUCGCCCCAAAAUCAAGGGAGAACAUCCUGGCCUACCCACUGGUGAUGUUGCAAAGAAACUGGGAGAGAGGUGG
Molecule: long non-coding RNA, 305 nt
Filed under: Marmota monax (woodchuck)
Lineage: Eukaryota; Metazoa; Chordata; Mammalia; Rodentia; Sciuridae
Source: RNAcentral